This 1941-nucleotide long non-coding RNA is filed under the name Sinocyclocheilus anshuiensis. RNAcentral describes it as "lncRNA (ENSSANG00000045718.1)". Lineage: Eukaryota; Metazoa; Chordata; Actinopteri; Cypriniformes; Cyprinidae. The record is from RNAcentral.
UCAUCUCCACAUUCUAUAAGCCCACUGCCUGGACAUUACAAACGGAAACGCGGUCCAUCGGCUGAUGCAAGACAAAGCUCUGAUGAGUGCCGAGUGAAGAAAUCCAAAAAGAAAAAGAGAAACAAAGAAAAGCACAGGCACUCAGAGAAGGACCCAUCUGAGGGCAAUGAGGAUAGCAGCUCGAAGAGACAUAAGAAGAAGAAAAAAAAGAAAAAGAAGGGGAGAGAGGAUGAGGAAAGGCCUCACACUAGGAGAGACGUCACUCCGAGGCGGGAAGAGCAUGAUUCUAGAGCUAGGAAUGGUACAGAGAGAGGAAGUCAGCACCACAUCUCUGAGUCUCGUCACAAUGUCCACCGAGACCAUAUGGAGGACCAGCAACAGCUCAAUGGACACAAAGCUAAUGGCCUGAGCUGUUACAGUGGAAAUGAACUUGAUCUUUGUCAUACUGGGAUGGAGAAAGACAUGAAAUACAAAUAUUUUGACCACUCUACCACUGUCAACAGCACAAAGACACUCUCAAAUGGAAAUGGAGAUGUGGACGGUGUCUAUCACAGGACCCUUUCAGAUGUUGAAAAAAUCACUCAUCCUCACUAAAGGGAAACUGAUUUCUUGAUCACACCUAAGACUCUGAAAAUCACCCAUGCAAGCAUGUGAAAGACAAAAUCUACAGCUACAGUUCCUGACAUGGUGCUUAACAUUUAGAACAUACUGUAUUUUUAUCACGAGAUGAAUUUUAAAGUUGCUUUAUUUUGUCUUUUGUUUUUCUUUAUUUUUAAGGUUAUGGAUUUUUUAGUACACUGUACAUAAAUGAACUUUGAUCAUGAAAAAAAUUAUAUAUAAAGUUAAUAUAUGCGAUUACAAAAAGCCUGGAGCUUAACAUCAGAAUUGCUGCUCAGACAUAUAGACUCAGGAUUUUCUCACUUGUGAAGAUGAAACAAGCGCUCCCUUUAAGGAAUCAAACCUGGGAAAGACGAGAACAUUUAUAUGCUGCAUCGGCAGAGAAAGACUGCUUGUCUCUUGGCUUCAAGUUAUGAUGUCACCAUUUUCACAUAUUGGUUGAGAGAACUGUCUCAAAGGAGCAGCCUUUGCUAAUGCUAUACGUGCACUUACGUCACAGUUAACCUGGACACACUUGAGGACAUAAGAUGUUUGCUUUGCUGUCUCUUGUACCUCUCUUUUUUAGCAUCUCACUGUAUCAGACCUUUCUAGAAUACAAGUUCAUUGCAUCUUUUUUGUUUUUAAUUCUCACUGUUUAUUUUUCUUGAAUCCGCUUUGAUUUCAGUCAAGAUAAUACUGUGAAUUUAAGUUGAACUGUACUAUCAGUUGUUUGUUUUUGGUCCUGUAUCAGGAGGUUCAGUAGAGACACUUUCAGUAAAGCCACUCGUAAUGUAGACCAUGUUCUCUGAACAUUUCUCAACUUUUUUGUUCUUCAGCAAAACGAAAGAGACGUGAAAAUGGUUAUAUUCAACUUCAUUUUACUGUAGCAUGUCAAAUUAAAUGUAUACAGUGUACAAUAUGUUGAGUGAGAGGAAACGGCCUUAAUGUCUGAAAUUUUAAUAUUUUCUCUCACUGUGUUUACAGUGUUUUGUUGGAGUGAAUGAACAUGUAUGUGAUGAUGGGAAGUGUUUGGUUUUGUAAAGGGUGGGGUUUCCUUUUUACAUAUAAAGAAUGACUUGUGAGAUAUCUGUUUUGUGAAAAAUAUCUUAAUUGAUGUCAAGGUGUGGGAUUUUUUAAGCUAUAUCUCCGCAAUAGGAACACAAACAUCGCUUAAGACAGAUUUAAAUUGAAUGUGCUUCUGCCGUAUACACCAGCAAAUCAGGCUGUAAUGGUCAUUUAUUUGUCUCAAUACCCAAGAGCAGUUAGGCUUGUGGACAAAACAUACUGAAAGCGGCUUAAUAUAAAACCGCACAAAUCAUAUUAAUUGCAAGAUUCGAGUGCACA